AUUGGUUUUCCUGGAGAGGGAUAUGCUGUGGUGAAACAAGGCCUCCUAGCAGGGAGAGUUCCUGGACUUUCUGAGCCAGAUGAAGAAGGUUAGUUUUAUAAUCCCACACUUUAUAAGCUGCAGUAAGCUUAUUGGCAUAUUCAUGAAUGAUGUUGAAAAACUAGGACAACUAGUAGACUCUUACCAAAUCCAAUAGAAUUAUUCACAACCUCAAAUAGCAACAAAAGGUUGUGUCUAGGCUGGAUAAUUGCAUAGACAUAGACUACAUUCAGAUAAUGAGAGAACACAGAGCCUACGUGUAUAUAACUGAAAUUCUUCGCGUCUUUUUCGUCUGUGCUUUUUCUUUUUCCAAGUAAAUGUUCAUCUUAACAAGGGCAAAAUUGCUCAGGCAGGUUGGAGGACAUACCGAAGACCGGAUGACAAGUCAGGUGGACAUGGUGUUGGAUGGAGUCCGAUCAGUCCUUAUGUUUUUUCAGUGCCUGAUAAUUGGGAAGAGGUAAUAAUUCAGUUAUUCACAACUGUAUGUAUUUUAAUAUUCAGCAAUGUCCGAGAAAUUACCUUUCAGCUGGAUGUCAAUUUACUUUGCACAAUUGGACAUACCUUAGUCAGGUUCACUUUUGAAGUUUUCACCUAUUGAACAGGUCCCUGUGUCAAUUGCUGAUCUAGGCGGUAC
RNAcentral lists this long non-coding RNA (673 nucleotides) under Nicotiana benthamiana. RNAcentral's name for it is "long non-coding RNA (NBEN_LNC022878)". Lineage: Eukaryota; Viridiplantae; Streptophyta; Magnoliopsida; Solanales; Solanaceae. The record is from RNAcentral.